RNAcentral lists this long non-coding RNA (561 nucleotides) under Anser cygnoides (Swan goose). RNAcentral describes it as "lncRNA (ENSACDG00005009385.1)". The record is from RNAcentral. Lineage: Eukaryota; Metazoa; Chordata; Aves; Anseriformes; Anatidae.
ACCAGCAGCCCCGCGCCCUGCGCAGUGCCAGAGCUGCCCGUCCAGUCCCAUCCCGUCCCGUCCCAUCCCAACCUGUCCCGGGCACCCCCGAGCCCCCUUGCCCGCAGCGGGGAGGGGUCUCCGGCCGCGGGCGUGCCGGUGGCCGCGGGCUGGAAGUGGGAGGGAGCCGGGCCGGAGGGGGGCACGUCCCGGGAGAGGGGUGGGGAGAGCCGGCGGCGAGCCGGACUGCGCCGCAACGCCCCUCGCUAUAAAGCCGGGGGCCGCGCAGCGGAGCGAGAGGAGUGGUACGGCCGGGGAGGGAGAGCGGGGCGAGCCCAGCACGGGGCCGUGCCGUCCGGUCCCGUCCCGUCCCGUCCCGUCCGGGCCAGCCGCCGCCGAGACAGGCACAGAAAAUGGGUAAUAACUGAAGACUACCUCACAGCAGGAAAGAGCGAUCAGAUUGGCAAUGCAUCACUGAAUGGCAUGACUGAAGACAAGACAAAGAGCGGGCUACAACACAAGGUCAUAAAAAAAUAUCAGAUACUGAUCAAUUGUUUUCUGUUGGUACCUAAUAAUCAGUAG